ACACUGUACGAGUUUGAUCAUGGCUCAGAGCGAACGCUAGCGGCGGGCUUAACACAUGCAAGUCGAGCGGAGAGCUUCGGCUCUCAGCGGCGAACGGGUGAGUAACACGUAGGUCACGUACCCUUUGAUGGGGAAUAACCUAGGGAAACCUGGGCUAAUACCGCAUAUGUCCUUCGGGAUGAAAGCCUUCGGGCGUCAGAGGAUCGGCCUGCGGCCCAUUAUUUAAUCCUAGUUGGUAGGGUAAUGGCCUACCAAGGGUACGAUGGGUAGCUGGUCUGAGAGGAUGAUCAGCCACACUGGAACUGAGACACGGUUCAGACUCCUACGGGAGGCAGCAGUGGGGAAUAUUGGACAAUGGGCGAAAGCCUGAUCCAGCCACGCCGCGUGGGUGAUGAAGGCCUUCGGGUUGUAAAGCCCUGUCGGGAGGGACGAAUCAAUGACGGUACCUCCCAAGAAAGCACCGGCUAACUCCGUG
Molecule: ribosomal RNA, 475 nt
Filed under: uncultured bacterium
Lineage: Bacteria
Description: bacterial SSU rRNA
Rfam family: Bacterial small subunit ribosomal RNA
Source: RNAcentral